Pan troglodytes (chimpanzee) is the source of this 6237-nucleotide RNA transcript. It is a transcript of the gene named Rho GTPase activating protein 35, with no coding region annotated. The transcript is spliced from 9 exons. Lineage: Eukaryota; Metazoa; Chordata; Mammalia; Primates; Hominidae. The record is from RefSeq and is a predicted model, not a curated record.
GGAGGAGGCGGAGGAGGGAACCCGCGAGGGAGGGUCCGCCCGGCCCCCCGCCGCCGGAGCCGCCGCCGCCGCCGCCGCCUCAGCCGCCGCUGGACUAGGAGCAGGGGAACAUGGCGCCGGGGCCCCCGUCGUUGCUGCCGGGAUCUUGGAGGCCGGGGCCGCGCUGAGGGCGCCCAGCUGGAAGAAAUGUUGGCUAUUUGGCGAUGAGAGGUGGUGAACAGUGACCAUACUGGUAUACAACACUAUGGGACCUGGCAUUUUUGCUGCAUGUCCAGCCCACCCCCACUAAUAAUGUAGGAAGCUGUCUGGUCCAUUGAAAACACUAAUCUGAUCUCGGAAGUGGCUGAUCGUGGCAGGAUGUGUCGACGAUGAUGAUGGCAAGAAAGCAAGAUGUCCGAAUUCCCACCUACAACAUCAGUGUGGUGGGAUUAUCUGGGACCGAGAAGGAAAAGGGCCAGUGUGGGAUUGGAAAGUCUUGUUUGUGCAACCGCUUCGUGCGCCCGAGUGCUGACGAGUUUCACUUGGACCAUACCUCCGUCCUCAGCACCAGUGACUUUGGAGGGCGAGUGGUCAAUAAUGACCACUUUCUCUACUGGGGAGAAGUUAGCCGCUCCCUGGAGGAUUGUGUGGAAUGUAAGAUGCACAUUGUGGAGCAGACUGAAUUUAUUGAUGAUCAGACUUUUCAACCUCAUCGAAGCACGGCCCUGCAGCCCUAUAUCAAGAGAGCUGCUGCGACCAAGCUCGCAUCAGCUGAAAAACUCAUGUACUUUUGCACUGACCAGCUGGGGCUGGAGCAGGACUUUGAGCAGAAACAAAUGCCAGACGGAAAGCUUCUGGUUGAUGGUUUUCUUCUUGGUAUUGAUGUUAGCAGGGGCAUGAAUAGGAACUUUGAUGACCAGCUCAAGUUUGUCUCCAAUCUCUACAAUCAGCUUGCAAAAACAAAAAAGCCCAUAGUGGUGGUCCUGACUAAGUGUGACGAAGGUGUUGAGCGGUACAUUAGAGAUGCACAUACUUUUGCCUUAAGCAAAAAGAACCUCCAGGUUGUGGAGACCUCAGCGAGAUCCAAUGUAAACGUGGACUUGGCUUUCAGCACCUUAGUGCAACUCAUUGAUAAAAGUCGGGGAAAGACAAAAAUCAUUCCUUAUUUUGAAGCUCUCAAGCAGCAGAGUCAGCAGAUAGCUACAGCAAAAGACAAGUAUGAGUGGCUGGUGAGUCGCAUUGUGAAAAACCACAAUGAGAACUGGCUGAGUGUCAGCCGAAAGAUGCAGGCCUCUCCAGAAUACCAGGACUAUGUCUACCUGGAAGGGACUCAGAAAGCCAAGAAGCUGUUUCUACAGCACAUCCACCGCCUCAAGCAUGAGCAUAUCGAGCGUAGGAGAAAGCUGUACCUGGCAGCCCUGCCAUUAGCUUUUGAAGCUCUUAUACCUAAUCUAGAUGAAAUAGACCACCUAAGCUGCAUAAAAGCCAAAAAGCUCUUAGAAACCAAGCCAGAAUUCUUGAAGUGGUUUGUUGUGCUUGAAGAGACCCCAUGGGAUGCCACCAGCCACAUUGACAACAUGGAAAACGAACGGAUUCCCUUUGAUUUAAUGGAUACCGUCCCUGCAGAGCAGCUAUACGAGGCCCACUUAGAGAAGCUGAGGAACGAAAGGAAAAGAGUUGAGAUGCGAAGGGCAUUUAAAGAAAACCUGGAGACUUCUCCUUUUAUAACUCCCGGAAAGCCUUGGGAAGAGGCCCGUAGUUUUAUUAUGAAUGAGGAUUUCUACCAGUGGCUGGAAGAAUCUGUAUACAUGGAUAUUUAUGGCAAACACCAAAAGCAAAUUAUAGAUAAAGCAAAGGAAGAAUUUCAGGAGUUGCUUUUGGAAUAUUCAGAAUUGUUUUAUGAACUGGAGCUGGAUGCUAAGCCCAGCAAGGAGAAGAUGGGUGUUAUUCAGGAUGUUCUGGGAGAGGAACAGCGAUUUAAAGCAUUACAAAAGCUCCAAGCAGAGCGUGAUGCCCUUAUUCUGAAACACAUUCAUUUUGUGUACCACCCAACAAAGGAGACAUGCCCCAGCUGCCCAGCUUGUGUGGACGCUAAGAUUGAGCACUUGAUUAGUUCUCGGUUUAUCCGGCCGUCUGACCGGAAUCAGAAAAAUUCACUCUCUGACCCUAACAUUGAUAGAAUCAACUUGGUUAUAUUGGGCAAAGACGGCCUUGCCCGAGAGUUGGCCAAUGAGAUUCGAGCUCUUUGUACAAAUGAUGACAAGUAUGUGAUAGAUGGUAAAAUGUAUGAGCUUUCCCUGAGGCCAAUAGAGGGGAAUGUCAGGCUUCCUGUGAACUCUUUCCAGACGCCAACAUUUCAGCCCCACGGCUGUCUCUGCCUUUACAAUUCAAAGGAAUCGCUAUCCUAUGUAGUGGAAAGUAUAGAGAAGAGUAGAGAGUCCACGCUGGGCCGGCGGGAUAAUCAUUUAGUCCAUCUCCCCCUUACAUUAAUUUUGGUUAACAAGAGAGGAGACACCAGUGGAGAGACUCUGCAUAGCUUAAUACAGCAAGGUCAACAAAUUGCUAGCAAACUUCAGUGUGUCUUUCUCGACCCUGCUUCUGCUGGCAUUGGUUACGGACGCAACAUUAAUGAAAAGCAAAUCAGUCAAGUUUUGAAGGGACUCCUGGACUCUAAGCGUAACUUAAACCUGGUCAGUUCUACUGCUAGCAUCAAAGAUUUGGCCGAUGUUGAUCUGCGAAUUGUUAUGUGUCUGAUGUGUGGAGAUCCUUUUAGUGCAGAUGACAUACUUUUUCCUGUCCUUCAGUCCCAAACCUGUAAAUCUUCCCAUUGUGGAAGCAACAACUCUGUUUUACUUGAACUACCAAUCGGACUGCACAAGAAGCGGAUUGAACUGUCUGUUCUUUCAUACCAUUCCUCCUUUAGCAUCAGAAAGAGCCGGUUGGUUCAUGGGUACAUUGUUUUUUAUUCAGCCAAACGUAAGGCCUCUUUGGCUAUGUUACGUGCCUUUCUUUGUGAAGUGCAGGAUAUUAUCCCUAUUCAGCUUGUAGCACUCACUGAUGGCACUGUAGAUGUCCUGGACAAUGACUUAAGUAGGGAACAGCUAACUGAAGGGGAGGAGAUUGCUCAAGAAAUUGAUGGAAGGUUCACAAGCAUCCCCUGUAGCCAACCCCAGCAUAAACUUGAGAUCUUUCACCCAUUUUUUAAAGAUGUGGUGGAAAAAAAGAACAUAAUCGAGGCUACUCAUAUGUACGAUAAUGCUGCCGAGGCCUGUAGCACCACUGAAGAGGUGUUUAACUCCCCCCGGGCAGGAUCACCGCUCUGCAACUCAAACCUGCAGGAUUCAGAAGAAGAUAUCGAGCCAUCUUACAGCCUGUUUCGAGAAGACACAUCACUGCCUUCUCUGUCCAAAGACCAUUCUAAGCUCUCUAUGGAACUGGAGGGAAAUGAUGGGCUGUCUUUCAUUAUGAGCAAUUUUGAGAGUAAACUGAACAACAAAGUACCUCCGCCAGUCAAACCAAAGCCUCCUGUCCAUUUUGAAAUUACAAAGGGGGAUCUAUCUUAUUUAGACCAAGGCCAUAGGGAUGGACAGAGGAAGUCUGUGUCUUCUAGCCCCUGGCUGCCUCAGGAUGGGUUUGAUCCUUCUGACUAUGCUGAACCCAUGGAUGCUGUGGUGAAGCCAAGGAAUGAAGAAGAAAACAUAUACUCCGUGCCCCAUGACAGCACCCAAGGCAAAAUCAUCACCAUUCGGAAUAUCAACAAAGCCCAGUCCAACGGCAGCGGGAAUGGUUCUGACAGUGAAAUGGACACCAGCUCUCUAGAGCGAGGGCGCAAGGUUUCCAUCGUGAGCAAGCCAGUGCUGUACAGGACGAGAUGCACCCGGCUGGGGCGGUUUGCUAGUUACCGGACCAGCUUCAGCGUGGGGAGUGAUGAUGAGCUGGGGCCCAUCCGGAAGAAAGAGGAGGAUCAGGCAUCCCAGGGUUAUAAAGGGGACAAUGCUGUCAUUCCAUACGAAACAGACGAAGACCCGCGGAGGAGGAAUAUUCUUCGCAGCCUAAGGAGGAACACUAAGAAACCAAAGCCCAAACCCCGGCCAUCCAUCACAAAGGCAACCUGGGAGAGUAACUAUUUUGGGGUGCCCUUAACAACUGUCGUGACUCCAGAGAAGCCGAUCCCCAUUUUUAUUGAAAGAUGUAUUGAGUACAUUGAAGCCACAGGACUGAGCACGGAAGGCAUCUAUCGGGUCAGCGGGAACAAGUCUGAGAUGGAGAGUCUGCAGAGACAGUUUGAUCAAGACCACAACCUGGACCUGGCAGAGAAAGACUUUACGGUGAAUACCGUGGCUGGUGCCAUGAAGAGCUUUUUCUCAGAACUGCCUGACCCCCUGGUCCCGUAUAACAUGCAGAUCGACUUGGUGGAAGCACACACCGCCAGUUGUGAGAUCGCUGCCAUCUCCUUCGUGAGACCCUCCUGUGGUUCUUCUGAGACCUGGAGUCCAAGAAGGAAACAUGGGGGCAUCUUUCCCUGCACAGAGAAAUCUGUCUUAGCCAGCUGGGCUCCAGAAAUCAACGACCGGGAGCAGAAGUUGCAUGCCCUUAAGGAGGUAUUAAAGAAAUUUCCAAAGGAAAACCACGAAGUCUUCAAGUAUGUCAUCUCUCACCUAAACAAGCCUCCCUCCUGCUCCUGUCUGAGGGCAGCCCACGUGGCCUCAAACCUGCCUAACACCAGAUAGUGCACUUAGCUCCAGCGGGCAUGGGGCCUCUUGUAGGCCUGUGUCCCAAAGCCGGCAGAGAGAGAAGAUCUUCUGGUUGGUGCUGAUGCUCCAGAAAUCUUCUCCUGAAUCAAAAACACCUCAGAGUCCCUGAAAGUCCUCUCACAGCAUUCACGUUCCCAGCUGGGGAGAACCAGGACACUGCACCUCGAGAGAUGUGCUGCAGGAGACAGCCAGCCUCCGGCAUGGAGCACAGCCGCAGGCAGGAGGCCGUAUGGUUGUUCCCUGAAGUUCCAUGUGUGUGGAGGAGAUCUGCUGGCCGAGUGGCCUCUGAUGGCGCUCUGGCUUAGGACACUCAGCCUCCCUCCCUCAUCACAGCCGGAGCACCGCCACUGCUUUGGCUGGCUGCAGAGGUCAGCCACAACAACAAGGUGAAUCUCAUGACCAGCGAGAACCUCUCCAUCUGCUUCUGGCCCACCUUGAUGAGACCUGAUUUCAGCACUAUGGACGCCCUCACAGCCACGCGCACCUACCAGACAAUCAUUGAACUCUUUAUCCAGCAGUGCCCCUUCUUCUUCUACAAUCGGCCCAUCACCGAGCCCCCCGGCGCCAGGCCCAGCUCCCCCUCCGCCGUGGCUUCCACCGUCCCCUUCCUCACUUCCACGCCUGUCACAAGUCAGCCGUCGCCCCCACAGUCGCCUCCACCCACCCCCCAGUCCCCAAUGCAGCCACUGCUUCCCUCCCAGCUUCAAGCCGAACACACGCUGUGAGCCACCAAGACCUGGGGCGACAGGAGAACCGGUCCUCUCUCUGACGGGGUGGCAUUUGGCCUUGAACAAAACCAAGUCCACUGGGGACAGAGGCAGGGGCAAGUGGCUCUCCCCAUUACCUUCUCAAGACCUCAGUGAGAGCACCAGCCAAUGGUACCAUCGGCCGGGCUGCCAGGUACCCUGGGCCCGGCGCUGCAGACCUGAGCUGGCUGCAGGCAGCAGCCAUGGGGCCCUGUCCUUUGACUUGGACCCAUUUGAGGACUGAACUAGGCAGGCAAUGGCCCCAGUGCCCUCCCUCUGUUCCCUGGACCACCACCCCACCUAGCUGCUCACACCAGCCUCCGGGUGCCUCCCUCUGCUUGUACAGAGCCCAUGGUCGGGACAGUGCCCUGGCCUUUGCCGGGGAGGAGGAUGCUCUGAGAUUCAGGGCGGGGCUGGCAACUCCUGAAGAGAACACUUCCUGUUGGUCUGUCUCUUCCCACCUUCCAUCUGCACACACCCCCAAGGUAAGGGUACAGCCCGGCUGGCGGCCUCCUUGGGAACGUGUAGGCCACGGCUCUGCCACCACUAGGUACCUGCUGAGGGCGCUGGCUCUGCAGAUCAGAACAACGGAGGAUAGCUUUGUGCCUGGACCCAGAGAGUGUGGGACUCCCCGCUUCAUCCCCACCGUCCCACUCCACAGCCUUCCCGAAACAUUCCCUGGCAAACAAAGGAACACUAGGAGAAAAAAUGGAAAAACCCUUCCAGUAAUUAAAAAGGAAGAAACCACAGAAAGAAAA